UGAAGAAGCUGUUAAAGCGGCUGAAACUUACCAACCCUAGAUGAGAUGAGAACUUCAAUGAUUCAUUUCGAUGAUCUCUCUGUUCUCCACUCUUCGUCCGAUCCCGAUCUCGAUCUCUUGCUCCGAUCCAAGUAAAUAUGAAAUUUCCAUCAGUCUUUCUUCUCCUCCCUUGAUCUCUCACCGAUCUGAGUUUGGGUUUUGUUCUAAUCACCUGAAAGAUGACUUACUUGUUUGAUGAUAUUGCAUGGAUCAUGGGUCAAAGAAGAGUUUGGUACCCAACCCAGAAAGAAGAUGACAAAACAGGGCAGCAGGGAGAAGGAAGGCCAGUAACCUAAUAAUAGUUUACACUUGAAGAAGAAGAAGGAGAUAUAUACAGAACAGAUUAGUUUACAUUGGGUCAGAUUUCGUUUCUCCAUUUCAAAAUCUUAUCCUUUCUCCUUCUUGUAUGUUAUGUUUGUCAAAACAAACUAUUAUUAUACAUGUUUCAUUUUGUUAUAUAUCCAUCCAAUUUAGCUUA
Molecule: long non-coding RNA, 517 nt
Organism: Impatiens glandulifera
Lineage: Eukaryota; Viridiplantae; Streptophyta; Magnoliopsida; Ericales; Balsaminaceae
Exons: 2
Source: RefSeq, a predicted model, not a curated record